GACGAACGCUGGCGGCGUGCUUAACACAUGCAAGUCGAACGGUAAGGCCCUUCGGGGUACACGAGUGGCGAACGGGUGAGUAACACGUGGGUGAUCUGCCCUGCACUUCGGGAUAAGCCUGGGAAACUGGGUCUAAUACCGGAUAGGACUCCUGCCUGCAUGGGUGGGGGUGGAAAGCUUUUGUGGUGUGGGAUGGGCCCGCGGCCUAUCAGCUUGUUGGUGGGGUGAUGGCCUACCAAGGCGACGACGGGUAGCCGGCCUGAGAGGGUGACCGGCCACACUGGGACGGCGAUACGGCCCAGACUCCUACGGGAGGCAGCAGUGGGGAAUAUUGCACAAUGGGCGCAAGCCUGAUGCAGCGACGCCGCGUGAGGGAUGACGGCCUUCGGGUUGUAAACCUCUUUCAGCACAGACGAAGCGCAAGUGACGGUAUGUGCAGAAGAAGGACCGGCCAACUACGUGCCAGCCGCCGCCGUAA
Molecule: ribosomal RNA, 478 nt
Filed under: uncultured bacterium
Lineage: Bacteria
Description: partial 16S ribosomal RNA
Rfam family: Bacterial small subunit ribosomal RNA
Source: RNAcentral